This 492-nucleotide ribosomal RNA is filed under the name uncultured bacterium. RNAcentral's name for it is "partial 16S ribosomal RNA". It matches the Rfam family "Bacterial small subunit ribosomal RNA", at positions 29 to 507 of the family's 1533-position model. The record is from RNAcentral.
AGUGAACGCUGGCGGUAGGCCUAACACAUGCAAGUCGAACGGCAGCACAGUAAGAGCUUGCUCUUACGGGUGGCGAGUGGCGGACGGGUGAGGAAUACAUCGGACUCUACUUUUUCGUGGGGGAUAACGUAGGGAAACUUACGCUAAUACCGCAUACGACCUACGGGUGAAAGCAGGGGAUCUUCGGACCUUGCGCGAUUGAAUGAGCCGAUGUCGGAUUAGCUAGUUGGCGGGGUAAAGGCCCACCAAGGCGACGAUCCGUAGCUGGUCUGAGAGGAUGAUCAGCCACACUGGAACUGAGAAACGGUCCAGACGCCUACGGGAGGCAGCAGUGGGGAAUAUUGGACAAUGGGCGCAAGACUGAUCCAGCCAGACCGCGUGGGUGAAGAAGGCCUUCGGGUUGUAAAGCCCUUUUGUUGGGAAAGAAAAGCAGCAGGUUAAUACCCCGCUGUUCUGACGGUACCCAAAGAAUAAGCACCGGCUAACUUCGUG